This 207-nucleotide ribosomal RNA is filed under the name uncultured Streptococcus sp. RNAcentral's name for it is "partial 16S ribosomal RNA". It matches the Rfam family "Bacterial small subunit ribosomal RNA", at positions 1175 to 1382 of the family's 1533-position model. Lineage: Bacteria; Bacillati; Bacillota; Bacilli; Lactobacillales; Streptococcaceae. The record is from RNAcentral.
GGGAGUGACGUCAAUCAUCAUGCCCUUACUGACCUGGGCUACACACGUGCUACAAUGGUUGGUACAACGAGUUGCGAGUCGGUGACGGCGAGCUAAUCUCUUAAAGCCAAUCUCAGUUCGGAUUGUAGGCUGCAACUCGCCUACAUGAAGUCGGAAUCGCUAGUAAUCGCGGAUCAGCACGCCGCGGUGAAUACGUUCCCGGGCCUU